AACGAACGCUGGCGGCAUGCCUAACACAUGCAGGUCGAACGGGAUCCUAGCUUGCUAGGUGAGAGUGGCGGACGGGUGAGUAACACGUGGGAAUCUGCCUUUUGGUUCGGGAUAACCGCGGGAAACUGCGGCUAAUACCGAAUGCCCUCGUGAGAGGAAAGAUUUAUCGCCAGAAGAGGAGCCCGCGUCCGAUUAGGUAGUUGGUGGGGUAAAGGCCUACCAAGCCGACGAUCGGUAGCUGGUCUGAGAGGAUGAUCAGCCACACUGGGACUGAGAUACGGCCCAGACUCCUACGGGAGGCAGCAGUGGGGAAUAUUGGACAAUGGGGGGCAACCCUGAUCCAGCAAUGCCGCGUGAGUGAUGAAGGCCUUAGGGUUGUAAAGCUCUUUUGCCAGGGAAGAUGAUGACUGUACCUGGAGAAUAAGCCCCGGCUAACUUCGUGCCAGCAGCCGCGGUAAU
RNAcentral lists this ribosomal RNA (459 nucleotides) under uncultured bacterium. RNAcentral's name for it is "bacterial SSU rRNA". It matches the Rfam family "Bacterial small subunit ribosomal RNA", at positions 29 to 524 of the family's 1533-position model. The record is from RNAcentral.